Long non-coding RNA from Mytilus trossulus (common blue mussel), 860 nucleotides. RefSeq lists it as uncharacterized. Lineage: Eukaryota; Metazoa; Mollusca; Bivalvia; Mytilida; Mytilidae. The transcript has 2 exons. The record is from RefSeq and is a predicted model, not a curated record.
GGUGAAAUGCAAAGGCAGAAAAAAAAAUUGAGGAAAAGGGGAAAAUCGUAAGAAUUUAUGUUUAAAAUGAUGAAAUUUAUAUUAAUACAAUAAUCCCAAACCUCGUUGGUACUAAAAAUAACAGGUAAAUAUUUGUGUCGAAAAGUACGGGAAAUAUCAACCUUGUUUAUCUCCCUUUAUUUCCUUCUCGCUGUGACGUCAUGUGAGUCCUUUGUUACAUUGGUAUCGAAUACAUGUGUUAGAACGUAAACUUGUAAACAACGUUAACCGGCUAUGGUGUUUUGUGUUGCAUACAACUGUACUACUGGAUCAGGUCGGGGAUAAUGUUUGUUUACAUUUCCGAAAGACCAACAAAGACGAAAGAUUUGGACACGAAAGGUGAAGAGGCAAAAUUAAACUUCGUUAAACGGAGCAUUCCAGAUUAUGACCCCAAACACUUGGAUUUUGUUGAUCAAUUUGUUAUUGGUGCAAUGAUUGUCUCGUUCAUGACAUUCACACCAAAUCAGAAUAAGACUGAAAGCAAAUGUUUUGACUUUAUUUGUCUUUAGUAUUAUGACAUAACGGCAGGAACAGACCCCUGCCCUUCUUGCAGGGAGCCAGCCCAAGUAUGCAUCUGUAGUACAUAGCCAUGGCAUAGGAAAAUGACGGAGAUGAGAGGUAUUAAUGUGCAUGAACUUAUGGAAGAAUCCUUCAUACACAAGUGGCUUAGAUAUACAAUUGUAGCAACAGUGGAUAAAAGACUGCCUGAGCCACCUCUGCUAACAGAUCAGGCAAACAGACAAGAAAAGGAGACCACUCAUAAAUAAAUUAAACAAUAAAUAAAUGUGAUAAAAUUUUAUUAUCAAUAUGGUUAAUAUAAA